AACUCUUCAUCCCAUUCAAUAUACCUUUGAAGCACUUCUUCAAAAAUUAGCCUUCUCUCUCAACUUGAGCAGAACACACCAAUUCCCUUGCAUUAAAAAAGGUCCUCACAUAACCAAUCCUUGCCAAGAAAAUAGUGGGAAAGACUCUUUUGGUAGUGUAUUUGUUCAUGAAGAAGAAUUCGUGUUAUAAUUCAAGAUUUGGAGAAGAUUUGAAGAAAGGUCUUCAAAGGUAAAGCUCUUCUCCCUAAGUUUUUCUAUAAGCAACCAUUGUUUUUUUUUUUUUUUUUUUUUUCUCUCUCUCUAUGUAUUACUGCUUUUCAACCCAAAAUUAAUAGCAAACCAAUCACUUGCUUUGGCUACGAGAUUUGGUCCCUUCAUGAUGGUCUAUGAAUUAGGGGCAUUAAAUGCUUGCUUUUGUAAGAAAUCAAUACACUAAUCAUGGUUAGAGAUUGACAAAAUACUUUUAGAAAUAACCUUGUUUUAGCCAUUAGUAAAGUGCAAUAAGUGGAUGAUUAUUGUUUACCAAAAGGGAAACAUACAAGGAAUAAAUAAGAAAGAAAAGAGAAAGAAACACACACAGAUAAGAAAGAGACGAGAGUUGAAGCUGGAUUAAAAUAAAUAAUCAAUAGAGAAGAAGAAGAAGGAAGCAUACAAAUGUUUACGUGGAUCACAGUUUAGAUAAGAAGAAAUGAGACUUGUUGAGUUGAACGAUUGAUAUCGAGUCUCCGAGUCAAAUCGCGAUUUAUUACGAGUCUAUUGAAUAAGUGGGCUUUUUGGACCUUUCACAUGUGGGCUCAAGAAAAGUUUUGCAUUUUUAUCUUCUUUCUUUUUUUUUUUUGCGUCUUUACACGGGUUAUAUUUGUAAAUAGUUUUAUCCUAUUUUCUAUAUUUAAAACAACAAUAAUGAUAAAAGAAUGAGAAGAAUAACAAAAUAGAAGGUUUACUUUCAUACAUGAUAAAAUAGCAAAAUCCAAAAAUAUGAAGAAAAAAAUUAUUGCAACGAGCCAUAAAUACCCUGUAAUUAAAAUUAAAUUCUCAAUACAAAUACCUAUAAAAAUCCUAAUUUUUCCCCAAAACCAAAAAAUUAACACCGAUUUCUUUCAUCAGUUGCAAAAAUUAUUGGAGUUUCUAGCUUCGUCUCCUUCAAACCCUUCAAAGUCUUCAUACAUUUAAAUUUUCUUCUUGCCUGCUUCUCUAACUAGAGACUUUGGGAUUUUCUUCAUGUCGGCUCCUCUAACCGAAGAAUCACAUGUCGAACAACCCAUACUGCAAACUCCAAGAAGAACCACAACUGAAAAGCAGAACACCUACAACGAAACUCACCGUGAAACUUGUCGAAAACGUCGCUCGACCCUUCUAUCAUCCUGCUGCGGCUAAACUUGACUCCAACAAACGCAGGAACAUUAGAACCUACUGCAAACCCACAACCAACAUUGGACAUCGUCAAACGCUGCUCGAAAAAGCUCGGCUGCACUUUUCUCCUCUCUUUUUUGCAAGAAAAACUCUCCAACUGUGUUUGUCUCUUGUGUCGACUGCCUCUUCCCUCUCAAUUUUCUUUUCUUUUCUCAAAUAAAACUUAAAAAAAGAAGAUUCAAAUGAUUGGAAAAAUGUCAUUGAGACAUAAUUACAAUUAUACACUCAACAUAAAAACUAUUUAAAACCACUUAAAUAUUUUUCAUUUUUCUAAACUCAUUCCAACCCUUCUUUCAAUAUUUAGUGAUUCAUAAUAAGCUAAUUGUAAAAGAAAAAAAGCUAAAAAAAAAAACAGUGUUAGUCCCUAAUGUUUAAGAAGUUUUAAUUAAAUCGGAAAUGUUUUAACGUUUCUCAAUUUAUAUCUCUUCAAGAUUUGUGAUUUGUUAAAAUUGGGCUAUCCUUAGUGAUUAACUUACAAGAUAUAAUGCUUAAUGAAGAUAAAAAAAAUGAGGAAGGGGGAUUAUUUUAUGGAGAGAAGGAUAUCACUAGCUAUCAAAUGUUUGUUAUUGAUAG
This 1986-nucleotide long non-coding RNA is filed under the name Cucumis sativus (cucumber). RNAcentral describes it as "long non-coding RNA (CSAT_LNC000579)". The record is from RNAcentral. Lineage: Eukaryota; Viridiplantae; Streptophyta; Magnoliopsida; Cucurbitales; Cucurbitaceae.